Molecule: ribosomal RNA, 490 nt
Filed under: uncultured Pichia
Lineage: Eukaryota; Fungi; Ascomycota; Saccharomycetes; Saccharomycetales; Saccharomycetaceae
Description: eukaryotic LSU rRNA
Rfam family: Eukaryotic large subunit ribosomal RNA
Source: RNAcentral
AAACCAACAGGGAUUGCCUCAGUAGCGGCGAGUGAAGCGGCAAGAGCUCAGAUUUGAAAUCGUGCUUUGCGGCACGAGUUGUAGAUUGCAGGUUGGAGUCUGUGUGGAAGGCGGUGUCCAAGUCCCUUGGAACAGGGCGCCCAGGAGGGUGAGAGCCCCGUGGGAUGCCGGCGGAAGCAGUGAGGCCCUUCUGACGAGUCGAGUUGUUUGGGAAUGCAGCUCCAAGCGGGUGGUAAAUUCCAUCUAAGGCUAAAUACUGGCGAGAGACCGAUAGCGAACAAGUACUGUGAAGGAAAGAUGAAAAGCACUUUGAAAAGAGAGUGAAACAGCACGUGAAAUUGUUGAAAGGGAGGGUAUUGCGCCCGACAUGGGGAUUGCGCACCGCUGCCUCUCGUGGGCGGCGCUCUGGGGCUUUCCCUGGGCCAGCAUCGGUUCUUGCUGCAGGAGAAGGGGUUCUGGAACGUGGCUCUUCGGAGUGUUAUAGCCAGGG